Molecule: ribosomal RNA, 467 nt
Filed under: uncultured bacterium
Lineage: Bacteria
Description: partial 16S ribosomal RNA
Rfam family: Bacterial small subunit ribosomal RNA
Source: RNAcentral
GAUGAACGCUGGCGGCGUGCUUAACACAUGCAAGUCGAACGGAAAGGCCCAAGCUUGCUUGGGUACUCGAGUGGCGAACGGGUGAGUAACACGUGGGUGAUCUGCCCUGCACUUCGGGAUAAGCCUGGGAAACUGGGUCUAAUACCGGAUAGGACCACUUCUUGGAUGUUGUGGUGGAAAGGUUUUUCGGUGUGGGAUGAGCUCGCGGCCUAUCAGCUUGUUGGUGGGGUAAUGGCCUACCAAGGCGUCGACGGGUAGCCGGCCUGAGAGGGUGUACGGCCACAUUGGGACUGAGAUACGGCCCAGACUCCUACGGGAGGCAGCAGUGGGGAAUAUUGCACAAUGGGCGCAAGCCUGAUGCAGCGACGCCGCGUGGGGGAUGACGGCCUUCGGGUUGUAAACUCCUUUCGCUAGGGACGAAGCGUUUUGUGACGGUACCUGGAGAAGAAGCACCGGCUAACUACGUG